RNAcentral lists this ribosomal RNA (436 nucleotides) under uncultured bacterium. Its description in RNAcentral is "bacterial SSU rRNA". It matches the Rfam family "Bacterial small subunit ribosomal RNA", at positions 612 to 1043 of the family's 1533-position model. The record is from RNAcentral.
ACUUCGGAACUGCAUCUGAUACUGCAUGACUCGAGUGCAGCAGAGGGAAACGGAAUUCCUGGUGUAGAGGUGAAAUUCGUAGAUAUCAGGAGGAACACCGGUGGCGAAGGCGGUUUCCUGGGCUGACACUGACACUGAGGCGCGAAAGCGUGGGUAGCAAACAGGAUUGGAUACCCUGGUAGUCCACGCUGUAAACGGUGAAUACUGGGUGUGGGAGGUGUAAUGCCUUCUGUGCCGAAGCUAACGCGUUAAGUAUUCCGCCUGGGGAGUACGGCCGCAAGGUUGAAACUCAAAGGAAUUGACGGGGGCCCGCACAAGCGGUGGAGCAUGUGGUUUAAUUCGACGCAACGCGAAAAACCUUACCUGGGCUUGACAUGGAGAGAAGUCGGAUGAAAGUCUGACGUGCCUCGUAAGAGGAGCUCUCACACAGGUGCUG